RNAcentral lists this ribosomal RNA (253 nucleotides) under uncultured bacterium. Its description in RNAcentral is "partial 16S ribosomal RNA". It matches the Rfam family "Bacterial small subunit ribosomal RNA", at positions 524 to 776 of the family's 1533-position model. The record is from RNAcentral.
UACGUAGGGGGCAAGCGUUGUCCGGAUUUACUGGGUGUAAAGGGUGCGCAGGCGGACUUAUAAGUCAGUGGUGAAAUCCCCCGGCUCAACCGGGGAACGGGCACCGAUACGGGCGGCCUCGAGGGGGGUAGGGGGGCCUGGAACUUCCGGUGGAGCGGUGAAAUGCGUUGAGAUCGGAAGGAACGCCCGUGGCGAAAGCGAGGCCCUGGACCCUUACUGACGCUGAGACGCGAAAGCCAGGGGAGCGAACGGG